Molecule: ribosomal RNA, 441 nt
Filed under: uncultured bacterium
Lineage: Bacteria
Description: partial 16S ribosomal RNA
Rfam family: Bacterial small subunit ribosomal RNA
Source: RNAcentral
CCUACGGGGGACAGCAGUGGGGAAUAUUGCACAAUGGGGGAAACCCUGAUGCAGCGACGCCGCGUGAGUGAAGAAGUAUCUCGGUAUGUAAAGCUCUAUCAGCAGGGAAGAAAAAAGACUGUACCUGACUAAUAAUCCCCGGCUAACUACGUGCCAGCAGCCGCGGUAAUACGUAGGGGGCAAGCGUUAUCCGGAUUUACUGGGUGUAAAGGGAGCGUAGACGGCUGUGUAAGUCUGAAGUGAAAGCCCAGGGCUCAACCCUGGGACUGCUUUGGAAACUGGGGAGCUAGAGUGCUGGAGACGUAAGUGGAAUUCCUGGUGUAGCGGUGAAAUGCGUAGAUAUUAAGAGGAACACCAGUGGCGAAGGCGGCUUACUGGACAGUAACUGACGUUGAGGCUCGAAAGCGUGGGGAGCAAACAGGAUUAGAUACCCGGGUAGUC